Molecule: ribosomal RNA, 634 nt
Filed under: uncultured bacterium
Lineage: Bacteria
Description: bacterial SSU rRNA
Rfam family: Bacterial small subunit ribosomal RNA (bases 1-536)
Source: RNAcentral
CCUACGGGAGGCAGCAGUAAGGAAUAUUGGUCAAUGGACGAAAGUCUGAACCAGCCAUGCCGCGUGGAGGAUGAAGGUCCUCUGGAUUGUAAACUUCUUUUAUAUGGGACGAAAAAAGGCUUUUCUAAGUCGUCUGACGGUACCAUAUGAAUAAGCACCGGCUAACUCCGUGCCAGCAGCCGCGGUAAUACGGAGGGUGCAAGCGUUAUCCGGAUUCACUGGGUUUAAAGGGAGCGUAGGUGGGUUGGUAAGUCAGUGGUGAAAUCCCCGAGCUUAACUUGGGAACUGCCAUUGAUACUAUCACUCUUGAAUACCGUGGAGGUCAGCGGAAUAUGUCAUGUAGCGGUGAAAUGCUUAGAUAUGACAUAGAACACCAAUUGCGAAGGCAGCUGGCUACACGAAUAUUGACACUGAGGCUCGAAAGCGUGGGGAUCAAACAGGAUUAGAUACCCUGGUAGUCCACGCCCUAAACUAUGGAUACUCGACAUACGCGAUACACUGUGUGUGUCUGNGNGAAGACAUAAGUAAUACCCACCCUCGGAAGUACGAGCGCGAAGAGUUAGUAAACGUAACGAAAGAAAGUUAGUACGGACGUAGAGACGUUGCCGACGGACGACGACGAGGGAGGAGGGAG